RNAcentral lists this ribosomal RNA (465 nucleotides) under Vreelandella stevensii. RNAcentral's name for it is "partial 16S ribosomal RNA". It matches the Rfam family "Bacterial small subunit ribosomal RNA", at positions 338 to 795 of the family's 1533-position model. Lineage: Bacteria; Pseudomonadati; Pseudomonadota; Gammaproteobacteria; Oceanospirillales; Halomonadaceae. The record is from RNAcentral.
CCUACGGGAGGCUGUAGUGGGGAAUAUUGGACAAUGGGCGAAAGCCUGAUCCAGCCAUGCCGCGUGUGUGAAGAAGGCCUUCGGGUUGUAAAGCACUUUCAGUGGGGAAGAAAGCCUUGGGGCUAAUACCCUCGAGGAAGGACAUCACCCACAGAAGAAGCACCGGCUAACUCCGUGCCAGCAGCCGCGGUAAUACGGAGGGUGCGAGCGUUAAUCGGAAUUACUGGGCGUAAAGCGCGCGUAGGCGGUCUGAUAAGCCGGUUGUGAAAGCCCCGGGCUCAACCUGGGAACGGCAUCCGGAACUGUCAGGCUAGAGUGCAGGAGAGGAAGGUAGAAUUCCCGGUGUAGCGGUGAAAUGCGUAGAGAUCGGGAGGAAUACCAGUGGCGAAGGCGGCCUUCUGGACUGACACUGACGCUGAGGUGCGAAAGCGUGGGUAGCAAACAGGAUUAGAUACCCCAGUAGUC